UACUACAGCCAUACCGCCCUGAACGUGCCCCAUCUGAUCUGGGAAGCUAAGCAGAGUCAGGCCUGGUUUGAACUUGGAUGGGAGUAAGUUAACAUCAGAGGGCUUGUAGAGU
RNAcentral lists this ribosomal RNA (112 nucleotides) under Prolemur simus (greater bamboo lemur). Lineage: Eukaryota; Metazoa; Chordata; Mammalia; Primates; Lemuridae. The record is from RNAcentral.